This 813-nucleotide ribosomal RNA is filed under the name Triticum aestivum (bread wheat). RNAcentral describes it as "partial small subunit ribosomal RNA". Lineage: Eukaryota; Viridiplantae; Streptophyta; Magnoliopsida; Poales; Poaceae. The record is from RNAcentral.
AUGAAGUCAUAUCUUAUUUGGCUCUUGAAAGAACAUGAUGUCCCAAGAUAUCGAACACAAAAUGCAUGGAGCAAAGAGGCUUGGAGAAGUAUUGUGAAUGCAUUCAAUAUAAAGUUUGGUUUAUCACUCACAGUAACACAGAUAAAACAAAAGGAGCAGGAUCUGAAGAAAGAUUUUAAAGCUAUACAAGACUUGAUAUCUGAAAGUGGUUUCGGUUGGGAUCGUGAUAGAAUGAUGGUGGUUGCUCCGGACAGUGUUUGGGAGGCAUUAAAGGCCCGUAAGAAAAAAGAUGCCCUCCGUUGGCAAGACAAGUCAUUCCCAUACUAUAAUGAUCUAUUUGCUCUAUAUGAUGGGCGCUAUGCUCAAGGAAGGAGUUGUCGUGGCAUGGAUUAUUAUGCAAACAAGGCCAGAGAACUCUCUCAGGUCACUACAUCAUAUUCGCAACAGUUGGAAGGUCCCGAGGAGCAUCAUCGCUCACCUACACCGAACUUACCUGCUCCUGUGGAAUCGUGCAUGCAUAUUGAUACUGAAGAGGACAAUGGAAGCACUAAUUGGUUCUGCACCGAUGAUCCAUUACACCUAGAAGCUGUGAACUCAACUCAAGUGAAAGAUUCUGCAUUACAUGUUCAAUCAGAAGAUGCAAUACCAACACCAUUUUCUUCAAAGCAAACCCCACAUAUGUCGAUGGAACUUCCAGAAGACAUACGUAGAAAUUGUCAACCAUCUCAUUCUGCUCGUGAGCUUACUAGUGCUAAGAGGGGGGAAGACAGAAGACUAAUUCUAGUAUUGAUGAUUUCCACGAGAGGUACCUGA